AUAAGUCAAGGGGUAUGAAAACUUUCUGAAGGCACUGUCUGAAGUUCAAACGAUAACAGAUUAAAUACUGUUUGGAAAAAAGGCAUCACAUCACAUCAAAGCAUAUCAAGUUUUUAAAUAUUUUAAUACAUUUCACAAUUGAUUCAUUGUAUUUACAAAAGACAGUGGUCAUGUGACAUAAAACCAUGUUUUUAAAAUGAACAUGAGAAACAAAUGAAUACCAGAAGCAUAUCAGUAUAUAACACAUAGAAAGAUAAAUAACAUUUCGGGAAGCUUAUGGUUUGUCAUUUUGCCAUUUUUUGUCAUUUUCUCUCUGCAAACAAAAAAACAAUCAUAAUGUGCAGUAUGUACCUUUCUAUUGCCUCUGUUGGCUAGAAGGAAAUCAUUCUAGAAUGGUUGGGAGUUCUUGAACGAGUGGUACUGUAGCUCUAGAACAGUUUGUAACUAUAACUGUUUAUGGCUCUAGAACUGUUGGUAGCUCUAGAACAGUUUGUAGCUGUAGAACCUUUGAUAGCUCUAGAACAAUUUGUAGCUCUAGAACUGUUGGUAGCUCUAGAACAGUUUGUAGCUCUAGAACUGUUACUGGUUCUAGAACUGUUGGGGGUUCUACAUUUUAAGGAAGACCAAGUAAAUGUAUGGCCGGGAUUUUAUCAUGCAAAAUAUGGACAUCAACAACAACAACAUAUGGAAUGUAGUUAUAUCUGUAUAAUGACACACAAAGUCUGCAUUUUUGGCACAAAUGUAAAGGCUGAACAAAAGUACUCUACUUUUCCUCCUGAACAACAAUAAAUAAAUCCUAUUUUUCCACAAGGUAACUGACUGAGACUAAAACUCCUACUUAAAAGGCUGAUUGAUGUUCUUAUGUCUGCAUGAAUGGGUUUUUGACUUUAUUCAGCACUUUAUACAGAACAUCUAGGCAGUAGGCACAAACUCAAAUCAUAAUAUUGCAUUCCUAUCUGUGAGCGGAGUGAAGAGGGAAUACAAUAACUGACUUUUCAAAAGGUUUUAACUCAGCACUUCCCUUAGAUCUUGAAUAUACAGUACCAGUCAAAGGCUUGGACACACCUACACAUUCAAGGGGUUUUCUUCAUUUUUACUAUUUUCUACAUUGUAGGAUAAUAGUGAAGUCAUCAAAUCUAUAAAAUAACACAUAUGGAAUCAUGUAGUAACCAAAAAAGUGUUACAUGAAAAUAUAUUUGAGAUUCUUCAAAGUAGCCACCCUUUGCCUUGAUGACAGCUUGUGGAUGCUAUGUCAUCUGAUGCAGCACCAUCACUCUCCUUCUUGGUCGAAUAGCCCUUACACAGCCUGGAGGUGUGUUGGGUCAUUGUCCUGUUGAAAAAUAAAUGAUAGUCCCACUAAGCGCAAACCAGAUGGGAUGGCUUAUCACUGCAGAAUGCUGUGGUAGCCAUGCUGGUUAAGUGUGCCUUGAAUUCUAAAUAAAUCACUGACAGUGUCACCAGCAAAGCACCCCCACACCUCCUCUAUGCUUCAUGGUGGGAACCACACAUGCGGAGAUCAUCUGUUCACCUACUCUGCGUCUCACAAAGCCACGGCGGUUGGAACCAAAAAUCUCAAAUUUGGACUUCCCAGACCAGAGGACAGAUUUCCACCAGUCUAAUGUCCAUUGCUCAUGUUUCUUGACCCAAGCAAGGCUCUUCUUAUUAUUGCUGUCCUUUAGUAGUGGUUUCUUUGUUGCAGCAAUUUGAACAUGAAGGCCUGAUUCAGUCUCCUCUGAACAGUUGAUGUUGAGAUGUGUCUGUUGCUUGAACUCUUUGAAACAUUUAUUUGGGCUACAAUCUGAGGUGCAGUUAACUUUAACAAACAUAUUCUCUGCAGCAGCGGUAACUCUGGGUCUUCCUUUCCUGUGGCGGUUCACCUGAGAGACAGUUUCAUCAUAGUGCUUAGUGUUUUUGCGACUGCACUUGAAGAAACAUUCACAUUUCUUGAAAUGUUUCACAUUGACUGACAUUCAUGUCUUAAAGUAACGAUGAACUGUCAUUUCUCUUUGCUUAUUUAAGCUGUUUUUGCCAUAAUAUGGACUUGGUCUUUUACCAAAUAGGGCUGUCUUCUGUAUACUCCCCUACCUUGUCACAACACAACUGAUUGGUUCAAACGCAUUAAGGAAAGAAAUUCCACAAAUGAUCUUUUAACAAGACACACCUGUUAAUUGAAAUGCAUUCCAGGUGACUACGUCAUGAAGCUGGUUGAGAGAAUGCCAAGCGUGUGCAAGCUGUCAUCAAGGCAAGAGGUGGCUAUUUUGAAGAAUAUCAAAUAUUAAAAUCUAUUCUGAUUAGUUUAACACUUUUCAUUUCAUAGUUUUGAUGUCUUCCAUAUUAUUCUACUUUAUCAAUGAUUUAAUUCCACUAGCAAACUAAAAUAACACCCAGAAUGAUAAGAUCACGUAAAAUAAGUAACCAAAUAAAAACAUCACAUUAAGAACAACGGAUAGUUAGAAUCCACUUCUUCGUUCUUCUAUUCCUGGACACAGUGUAGUAGGUUGAUAAGGCCUUGUACUUCGUUUAAAGGAUAGCUGACUGUACUUUACACAUUAUCUCAAUGCUAAAUGUUCAAGUACAACUUCAGUACAGUUCAUUGUUUAACCAGUGUUUCAGUUUAGCGUAAACAUGUUAUUAUUAUGUAAUAACAUGACGUGAACCAAACCCUACUCUUCUCCGUCUGGCCCUUUAUCGUGUCACAUUGCUAAACCUAACAUUUAUUAUCUAGUUAUUCAUUUCAGUGCUUUAUUUCAGAGAUAAAUGCAAACCCCGAACAACAGAAAUGUCCGUCGAUCAGAAGAGUGUUUUAUUGUAUCUGAUAUCCUCCUGAUUCAACAGAGUCAGUUUCCUGCUCUUGUCCACCCCACAUCUGUUCUCUGCUCUAAAUCAUUCAAUAUUCUAAACCAAAACCAGACUUUCUGUCUGGUUAACCCCUCUUGCCUUGUCUCCUAAUGAUCUGUCCUUCCAGCUGUCUGGUUAACCCCUCUUGCCUUGUCUCCUAAUGAUCUGUCCUUCCAGCUGUCUGGUUAACCCCUCUUGCCUUGUCUCCUAAUGAUCUGUCCUUCCAGCUGUCUGGUUAACCCCUCUUGCCUUGUCUCCUAAUGAUCUGUCCUUCCAGCUAUCUGGUUAACCUCUCUUGCCUUGUCUCCUAAUGAUCUGUCCUUCCAGCUGUCUGGUUAACCCCUCUUGCCUUGUCUCCUAAUGAUCUGUCCUUCCAGCUGUCUGGUUAACUCCUCUUGCCUUGUCUCCUAAUGAUCUGUCCUUCCAGCUGUCUGGUUAACCCCUCUUGCCUUGUCUCCUAAUGAUCUGUCCUUCCAGCUGUCUGGUUAACCCCUCUUGCCUUGUCUCCUAAUGAUCUGUCCUUCCAGCUGUCUGGUUAACCCCUCUUGCCUUGUCUCCUAAUGAUCUGUCCUUCCAGCUGUCUGGUUAACCCCUCUUGCCUUGUCUCCUAAUGAUCUGUCCUUCCAGCUGUCUGGUUAACCCCUCUUGCCUUGUCUCCUAAUGAUCUGUCCUUCCAGCUGUCUGGUUAACCCCUCUUGCCUUGUCUCCUAAUGAUCUGUCCUUUCAGCUAUCUGGUUAACCCCUCUUGCCUUGUCUCCUAAUGAUCUGUCCUUUCAGCUAUCUGGUUAACCCCUCUUGCCCUGUCUCCUAAUGAUCUGUCAUUUCAGCUAUCUGGUUAACCCCUCUUGCCCUGUCUCCUAAUGAUCUGUCCUUUCAGCUAUCUGGUUAAUCCCUCUUGCCCUGUCUCCCAAUAAUCUGUCAUUUCUCCCAUCUGGUUAACCCUUCUUGCUGUGUGUCCCAAUAAUAUGUCAAUUUUAAGAAAUAUAGCAGUCUAACACAUGCUCAGACCAAUCCAAUGCUUUUAACUGCAGGAGAAAGGCCAGAUUAUUGAGACGCAGGGAUGCUGUCUGCUCCCUCCAGACUCUUUAAUGAUUACACAGCAACUGACCCCUAAACAAGCAGGUCUGGAGCCCAUUAGGGCCUAGCCUACUGACUAUUAGUUAACCACACAUUUUGAAUAUGUGACCCAAAUUGCGCCCCAUUGGCUAUAUAGUGCACUAUUUUUGACCCACUGGGCUGAUGGCUCUGGUCAAAAGUAGUGCACUAUGUCGGGAAUAGGGUGCCAUUUGAGAGUCACGACUGCAUUCCAUCUACCGCUACAGUUCCCAAACUCCUAUCUAUCAAGUCACAUGAACAUGUUCCAGUCCUCGUUUCUUUUAAGCCAUCAAAGCUAGUCUUAUCUGUGCACAACCUUUCUGUGUCGGCCUCCUGUCGUCACCUAUGUACAGGUGUAUAGGUGAAUAUGUUGUAACGAAAGAUCACAAUAUAAUAUUCAUUUCAAACUAAUGUCCUGAGUUCCUGUCCCUCCCUUUGCUUCAUGUGGUCAAUAAAUACGGUCACUACUGAGUGACUAGUUUAGUGGAUGAGGGACGAGACACCAUGUAGAGUUUUAAAUGCACUUUAAAAUACAUUUAGUAGCUUCUCUCACUUUGUUUUGUUUCUAUAAAAUAUUAACUAUGAGAAGAAUUCAUCAGAUUCUAACAACGGGACAUUUCCCUGAUUAAAAUAAACAACAGCCCCCAUAGGCUCCCUACGACCAAACAACCCUCAUAUUUUUGCAAAAGGGUGUCUCGCAGCAGAGUGAGCACAUAGUAGCAGCAUUAUGCGACUCAAUGGUUACGUCCCACAAAUGGCACCCUAUUCCUUAUAUAGUGCACUACUUUUCACCAGAGCCCUAUGGGCCAUUUGGGACAUAAUCAAUGUGAAUUCUGAGGCAUGACAACAUGCAUGACUACAAAUCCCAGCAGUCAUCGUAACCCAGUGUUUCUCAACCUUUUGUGUACCAGGGACCGGCAAUGACCAGCUAUAAUCCUUCCUCCUUUGAAGACCACUUAGUUUUAAUCUAACACUUGGAAACUAACUAAAUCAGUGUCCACUCACUAUCUGAGGGACCAAUCAGCAACACCCCAAGGACCAGUGCUGGCCCGGGGACCGCAGGUUGAGAAGCACUGAUAAACCCACAAAGAGUUGGGAUAACAUGGUACCUACCAACCUACAGUACACCCAGUCAGACUCAGGACAGUGCAACUUCCUGCAAAACCCCUAAUGAAAGCACACUAGCAAAUGAUCUGUAAUCAUACAAAGGCAAUGAUGGCCGGGGAACAUGUCAUGGUGAAAAUAGGUUGUUUUCAGGUUAUGGUCAGUGCUGUGUUCCCAAGGUCUUAUAUAAUAUGUACAGUUUAUGCAGAUAGAGGUAGCAUCCCAAAUGGAACACUAUUCCCUAUGUAGUGCACAAAAUGGCACCCUAUUCCCUAUAUAGUGCACCUGCCAUUUAUGAUGCACACAGGGUGAUCUGUUAUUAACAAGACAGAUUGAGAGAAAGCACAGGAAGCCAUUCCUUAGACAUUUGACCCUUGCAGUCAUGACGGGGGGAAUCAGUCAUUACAUAAUAAUUACAGCUUCAAGUUUUUAUACAGAAUGAUAUAUACACUUGCCAACAGACAUUCCACAGCAAGGUGUAUCAAACAUGUUGAAUAUGAGUUCACACAGUGAAAUCCUGUUUGAUAACAGCAUGCAUUACUCUACGUGCUAAUUCCUGAUAGAAGGGUUUGGUCGGUGUGGCAGAUUCUCAUUCUGAUUCUUCUUCUCCAGUCUGACAUCCUGUCUAGAUCAAUGGAGUGGUGUUUGGGGAGG
This 5691-nucleotide long non-coding RNA is filed under the name Oncorhynchus kisutch (coho salmon). RNAcentral's name for it is "lncRNA (ENSOKIG00005046599.1)". The record is from RNAcentral. Lineage: Eukaryota; Metazoa; Chordata; Actinopteri; Salmoniformes; Salmonidae.